Molecule: non-coding RNA, 1146 nt
Organism: Salmo salar (Atlantic salmon)
Lineage: Eukaryota; Metazoa; Chordata; Actinopteri; Salmoniformes; Salmonidae
Source: RefSeq, a predicted model, not a curated record
UCACAUAGUCCUCCCACAAUAUAUCUGCCAUAGAGCUCAACAUUUCACAUAGUCCUCCUAUAAUAUAUCUGCCAUAGAGGUCAAUAUUUCACAUAGUCCUCCUACAAUAUAUCUGCCAUAUAGCUCAACAUUUCACAUAGUCCUCCUACAAUAUAUCUGCCAUAUAGCUCAACAUUUCACACGUUAAAAUUAAAAUAGAAUCAUCUUGAAUUUAGCUUGAUGUCUUAUUAUGAAGCAUUCCGUUAUUCUCAGACUGCUCACAUAGUAGUGCUGCUUACAUCUCUUUCCCUAGAUGUACAUUAGUAAUGAAUGUGAUGAACAGUCAUUCCAAUAUGAUGAAUGGUAUUUCAUUAAAUUAUGUAAUGAGACAGAAAUUCAAUGAACAAUAAUAACUAAUACAUUCUGUUUUACAUGAUCAUUAUUCAUGACUCUCCAUCUUGGAUAAUGGAUGAUCAGAACAACAUUUCGGUGAGUAAUUACUUAUUUGUCUGUUUUGUUUAUUGACAACCAAUAACACAAGACAAAGAACAGACCAGAGUGUUAAUCUGACACUAUAAAAACUACAGGCCUUGUGAACAGCAGUGUGUCUUCUUCAUGGCUACAAAUUAAAUCAGUUUCUUUACAUUUAUCAAUACUCUCCCCACAUGUUCUCAAGGUAGGUUGGAUUAAGAUGUAUAGAUGUUCUUUAAACUAUCCAGAAUGUUCACAUCAUAGUCCUCCUACAAAAUAUCUGCCAUAGAGGUCAACAUUUCACAUAGUCCUCCCACAAUAUAUCUACCAUAGAGGUGAACAUUUCACAUAGUCCUCCUACAAUAUAUCUGCCAUAGAGGUGAACAUUUCACAUAGUCCUCCUACAAUAUAUCUGCCAUAGAGGUCAACAUUUCACAUAAACGUCCCACAAUAUAUCUGCUAUAGAGCUCAACAUUUCAGAGGGGUUGAGUUAAAUGCGGAAGACACAUUUCAGUUGAAUACAUUCAGUUGGACAACUGACUAGGUAUCCCCCUUUCCUUUCCCUUUCACAUUGUUCUCCCACAAUAAAUCUGCCAUAGAGGUCAACAUUUCACAUAGUCCUCCCACAAUUUCUCUGCCAUAGAGGUCAACAUUUCACAUAGUCCUCCCACAAUAUAUCUGCCAUAGAGGUCAACA